Molecule: ribosomal RNA, 475 nt
Filed under: uncultured bacterium
Lineage: Bacteria
Description: bacterial SSU rRNA
Rfam family: Bacterial small subunit ribosomal RNA
Source: RNAcentral
GGCGGCAGGCUUAACACAUGCAAGUCGAGCGGUAGCAGAUCUAGCUUGCUAGAUGCUGACGAGCGGCGGACGGGUGAGUAACGCGUAGGAACCUGCCCAGUAGUGGGGGAUAGCCCGGGGAAACUCGGAUUAAUACCGCAUACGCUCUACGGAGGAAAGAGGGGGCUUCGGGCUCUCGCUAUUGGAUGGGCCUGCGUGAGAUUAGCUAGUUGGUGAGGUAAUGGCUCACCAAGGCGACGAUCUCUAGCUGGUCUGAGAGGAUGAUCAGCCACACUGGGACUGAGACACGGCCCAGACUCCUACGGGAGUCAGCAGUGGGGAAUAUUGCACAAUGGGCGCAAGCCUGAUGCAGCCAUGCCGCGUGUGUGAAGAAGGCUUUCGGGUUGUAAAGCACUUUCAGUGGGGAGGAAGGCCUCGUAGUUAAUAGCUGCGAGGAUUGACGUUACCCACAGAAGAAGCACCGGCUAACUCCGUG